CUAUCCCCUCGCCUUGCCACAGAGAAUCCACGCUGAGGGAAUAGGCAAAAACAUGACUAUGUUUCUCGUUAUGAAGAAGCAAGCAUAACUCGUCUGAGGAUAUAGGCUAUCACUGCUUCCACAAAUUGUGUCUAUGAUUUGGUCAUGUGAUUAUAACACAGCUUAUACAUUCAGUAACCAAAACAAGCAAAGUUUAAAUAUGGCCACACUCAAGGUCCUGAGCAUUUCAGAAGUGAAAUAAAGUAUAAAAUCAAGAGGUUUUUAAUUCAAGAAUACAAUUAGCGAAUGAAUCAGGGGGCAGAUUACACGCAAGUAACUUUCGUGACAUAAGUGAGAAAAAAACUGGUGUUCAAAAUUGCAGUCAACAGCUGAAUGUUAAUUGUUUUCGUCCAAACUUUUGAAGGGUUGGUACAUUUACCAUCCUUAUUUGACAUUAUCCUUACACGCAUGAUGAUUAACUGAUAUCAGUUUAACUUCAGUUAAAAUUCUGUAGAUGAAUUAUCAAUAUUUAAAAAGUUAUCGAAGACUUUAUACGCAAGUGCCUUAUUGAAUAAGAUUGACCAGGUUCAUUGUAUGUGCAUUUUUAGUUCAUGUAUACGGUUUUCUCAGUACUGUUAUUUUUCAUGGAGAGAUUGACUCAACAACCAUCAUAUUUUACCUUGCAUUAACAUUUAGAUGCUUCAAACAGGCAAUCACUAUAAGUAGCUGUUGGCCACAACGUUGAACACCAGUUAAUAUUUUUCUCACUUACGCCACACCAGUUACUUACGUGCCAUCUAUCUCCUCUGUAUGCCAAUUUCAAUAAGAAACAAUCAUACACAAAGAAAAAUCAUGUAAUUAAAGAUUCUAACCUUUGCAUGAUUCACACACCAUGACCAUCAUUUAAGAUGUCUUAUAACUUCCAAAGCUGUCUUCGGGCGACUCUUUAACUUUCCAAAAUUGUUAUGCAUGUCCUGUAAAUAGGAAUAAUCUUAUGCUCCAUGUAAUCAGGUACCCAACAACCUUGAAGGACUAUCUCUCUGUGGUUAACCCCUUAGAAACUAAAUUUUAAUUUGAGACCUUUAAAAAGUUUUAAAGCCUUCAUUCUAAGAUUCUGAUUAGAGGCAAACAACAUAAAAACUGAACAGACUGCAAGUUACUUACAGGCUGUUCUGGUUUAAUUCUGGUUGUAUACAGCAAUAUACACUUUUCCUCUGAGCAGGAAAGGAUUGAUAAAUACUGGUAUAUAAGUUUCACCUUUCUGGCUGUAUUUAUGAUAUGGUUACACAUAUACAUAAGGAGCCUUGAUUUCGUGACAUCUUAUCUGCCUAAUUAAUUGAAUUUAAAAAAAAAUUAAAUAAUGUCAUUUCUCUUUUGUUGUUGUUAUUUUGCUGCCUGAAAUUUGUCUUUUUCGGAUGGGGCCCCUUACCUGGUGAUUAGUGAUUGUGGUUGCUGUCUGGCAGACAACACACGUGGCCUCGUGUUUCCUUAUACCACUGAUCUUUAAGACAGGAGAGGCAACACUGCUCUCAUGGCACCAGAGAUAGCUACAACUGAACCUCGCAGAUUCGCCCAGUUAGAUUAUCGGAAGGAGGACGCAUGAAGUUCAGGUGCCCUGUGUACGAGAUCUUUGGGGCAGACAACCCUUUCUAAUACACUGGCCAAGGGAGGCUAGACAGUCGCAGCUUUAGGCUGGAUGAGUUACCCCCCUUGCGUGAUGAUGUGCCUGCUGUUGUGCGGAGAGUGGUGGCCGCACUGCUCGAAAGGAAACCAAACAAGGUGCAAUAUUAAAUAUGGGCCUUGUUUUGGAAUAACUGGGAUUAAUCCAUGUGUGUUAAAUGUCAUCUCAGAUUAGCCUGUUCACUAACAUUUGUGACUAACUGUUGAUCAAACUUAGUCAGAAUGUUAACUCCACAAUGUUUGAAUCUGGGCCAUGUGCAUCCAAAAAGUAUGUCACCAGGUCGAAUGUGAGAAGAAUCUUGUGUCCAUUCUUGUUGGCACAAUUAUACAAUUAUUGACUUAAUCCAGAUGAAACUUUUUCAAAAUUUGUAUCUUUGCAAUAUGUAGUUUAAUUUAAUUUCUGGGUCACAUGUGUCCGAAAACUAGGUGACAAUGUCAAGUCUGAGAAGAUGACAAUCUUGAUGAACCUUGGUUCGCAUGUUUAUCUGAAAAAUACUUAGGUCAAGUUCAAAUGUGGGUCACAUGAUGUGAUCCAAAACUAGGUCAUCGAGGUUCCAAGGUCAAAGAUCAGGUGGUGGAUUGUCACCAUGGCAAAAGAGGUUCACCUGAAGAAGAAGUCAACUCUGCGAGAGAUGAAAAGGUGUUUCCUGGACCACUUGACCAUCAACAGCCUUUUAAAAAAUUGAACACGUUCAGUUACUGUGGGGUUAACAUUAUAAGUAAAUAAAGUUUAAUGAUG
Dreissena polymorpha is the source of this 2398-nucleotide long non-coding RNA. RefSeq lists it as uncharacterized. The transcript is spliced from 2 exons. The record is from RefSeq and is a predicted model, not a curated record. NCBI's taxonomy places the organism in Eukaryota, Metazoa, Mollusca, Bivalvia, Myida, Dreissenidae.